CAGUCGCCGCGGUAAUACGUAGGUGGCAAGCGUUGUCCGGAAUUAUUGGGCGUAAAGGGCUCGCAGGCGGUUUCUUAAGUCUGAUGUGAAAGCCCCCGGCUCAACCGGGGAGGGUCAUUGGAAACUGGGAAACUUGAGUGCAGAAGAGGAGAGUGGAAUUCCACGUGUAGCGGUGAAAUGCGUAGAGAUGUGGAGGAACACCAGUGGCGGAGGCGACUCUCUGGUCUGUAACUGACGCUGAGGAGCGAAAGCGUGGGGAGCGAACAGGAUUAGAGACCCCUGUAGUCCCUGUCUCUUAUAC
This 301-nucleotide ribosomal RNA is filed under the name uncultured bacterium. RNAcentral's name for it is "partial 16S ribosomal RNA". It matches the Rfam family "Bacterial small subunit ribosomal RNA", at positions 509 to 807 of the family's 1533-position model. The record is from RNAcentral.